CUCAGAAGGGAAGAUGCUAAUAUAUUCACUCAGAGUUCAGAAAAGGCAGAUGGUUUGCUUUGGGCAAAAGUUGUCAGGAGAGGUUUUCAGACCAAAGCAAGGACAUCUUGAGGGGAGAGUCAAAAGGAAAGAAUUAAUCCUAUUUUCAGCUCUCUAUCCCUGAAUACUCUUAGUUCCUUCAAGCAGCAGUGGGCUAACAAGUGAUGCUACAGGACCGUAUGCCAAUGCAAGCGAGGACCCUGUGACCUUCAACAGACCUCUGCGUCACCAUGGAGCUUUGAGAUGAGUGUCAGAAGGAAGAACAAGCUCAUUUUGAAAAGUACACAGACGUUGGAAACUACAGCAUGCUAUCCCAGUGUCAUGGUGGAAGAACAAGGAACAGGACAUUCAAACAGUGGAUGACCAGGUCCCUACUUCCCAGGACUCGGCUUUCUUUGGAGGGAAGCUUAUCCAUGUUCCCCGAGGACCUACUACACACGUGAUUUCAGAGUGGACUGUUCAGUGUGGCUUGUCUGGGACUUAUAUUCUCAAUCUCAUCAUUGCCUUUCUGUGUCCAAAACCAAAGCAUCAGAGGUACAAGAAGGCAAAACUCCAUUUCCUCUGUGAGCACUGUUCCUGUUUGACUGAGGAAUCUGGCUAGAACAAGAAGAAAUAGGGCCAGAGUUGGGGCUAUGUAUGUAGAAAUUUUGGGUGGAUUUAAAGAAAUCAACGUCUUGGAUUUUGUCACAAGAAAAAUCACUUAGACACCCUACAGUUAUGGAUAAGAAACCAAAUGGAAUGCUUGAUUCAUUCUAUUAUGCUUUUAAGUAACUAUUACAAUGAAUGAUUCAUUAAUUACUAUGAAAGAGCAAGGUUUCAACAAAAACAAAUACGAAUAAAUUAAAUAAUUUCUAGCGAAACUUCAUUUGUUAUGGAAUAGCACCUAAUCUAACUUUUAUUUUGCUAAAUAAAAAAGAGUUUUGGUAUCUUAUUUCAGGUAUUGAAAUGCCUCGGGUCUUGCUCUGGACAAACACAUUGCCCUGGGACCGGCUGCUCACAGCAUUUUGGCUUUGACACGGCAGCUCUGACAUUAAAAAGCCCUUAACUAACCAUUUGCAACAUAUCA
RNAcentral lists this long non-coding RNA (1105 nucleotides) under Homo sapiens (human). Its description in RNAcentral is "HSALNT0182556". The record is from RNAcentral. Lineage: Eukaryota; Metazoa; Chordata; Mammalia; Primates; Hominidae.